GACGAACGCUGGCGGCGUGCUUAACACAUGCAAGUCGAACGGAAAGGCCCUGCUUUUGUGGGGUGCCCGAGUGGCGAACGGGUGAGUAACACGUGAGUAACCUGCCCUUGACUUCGGGAUAACUUCAGGAAACUGGGGCUAAUACCGGAUAGGAGCUCCUGCUGCAUGGUGGGGGUUGGAAAGUUUCGGCGGUUGGGGAUGGACUCGCGGCUUAUCAGCUUGUUGGUGGGGUAGUGGCUUACCAAGGCUUUGACGGGUAGCCGGCCUGAGAGGGUGACCGGCCACAUUGGGACUGAGAUACGGCCCAGACUCCUACGGGAGGCAGCAGUGGGGAAUAUUGCACAAUGGGCGGAAGCCUGAUGCAGCAACGCCGCGUGCGGGAUGACGGCCUUCGGGUUGUAAACCGCUUUCGCCUGUGACGAAGCGUGAGUGACGGUAAUGGGUAAAGAAGCACCGGCUAACUACGUG
This 468-nucleotide ribosomal RNA is filed under the name uncultured bacterium. RNAcentral's name for it is "partial 16S ribosomal RNA". It matches the Rfam family "Bacterial small subunit ribosomal RNA", at positions 28 to 507 of the family's 1533-position model. The record is from RNAcentral.